RNAcentral lists this ribosomal RNA (492 nucleotides) under uncultured bacterium. RNAcentral's name for it is "partial 16S ribosomal RNA". It matches the Rfam family "Bacterial small subunit ribosomal RNA", at positions 28 to 507 of the family's 1533-position model. The record is from RNAcentral.
AUUGAACGCUGGCGGCAUGCUUUACACAUGCAAGUCGAACGGUAACAGGCCUUCGGGUGCUGACGAGUGGCGAACGGGCGAGUAAUUCAUCGGAACGUACCCAGCGGUGGGGGAUAACGCAGCGACAGCUGUGCUAAUACUGUAUGUGAUCUGAGGAUGAAAGCGGGGGACCGAGCAGCAAUGUUUGGCCUCGCGCCUUUGGAGCGGCCGAUGUGGGAUUAGCUAGUUGGUGGGGUAAAGGCCUACCAGGGGGGCGAUCCGUAGCUGGUCUGAGUGGACGGCAGGCGGCAUGAGGAGGGGAACGGGGACAGGGCGCCUGCGAGAGGGAGCAGUGGGGAAUUGUGGACAGUAGGCGCGAGCCUGAUCCAACGAUGCCGCGUGCGAGAAGAAGGCGUUCGGGUUGUGAACCGCGUUUGGCAGGAACGAAACGGUGUCGGCUAAUACCGAGCGUUAGUGACGGUAACUGCAGAAGAAGCACCGGCUAACUACGUG